RNAcentral lists this unclassified non-coding RNA (319 nucleotides) under uncultured fungus. RNAcentral's name for it is "partial contains small subunit ribosomal RNA, internal transcribed spacer 1, and 5.8S ribosomal RNA". The stretch from base 1 to 73 matches the Rfam family "Eukaryotic small subunit ribosomal RNA", at positions 1759 to 1831 of the family's 1831-position model. Lineage: Eukaryota; Fungi. The record is from RNAcentral.
UCAAACUUGGUCAUUUAGAGGAAGUAAAAGUCGUAACAAGGUUUCCGUAGGUGAACCUGCGGAAGGAUCAUUACAAGGAAAGGGUGCCGGAAACGGUGCCCCUACCCACCCGUGUUUACUGUACCUUUGUUGCUUUGGCGGGCCCGCUGCACCCCAUCAAUUGGGGGAAGGCCGCUGGCGUCUUUGCACGCCGGCCAGCGCUCGUCAAGGGAAUUUUUUGGAACCCUAUGUUGACCAUGUACGCUCUGAGUGGUGAUUAAAAUCAGUUAAAACUUUCAACAAAGGAUCUCUUGGUUCUGGCAUCGAUGAAGAACGCAGC